Dujonia railenensis is the source of this 2702-nucleotide non-coding RNA. NCBI's taxonomy places the organism in Eukaryota, Fungi, Ascomycota, Pichiomycetes, Serinales, Debaryomycetaceae. The record is from the annotation of a GenBank genome assembly.
UAUAUCAAUUUAAUUUAUAAAUGUAGGUGAAUAAUUGAAAAUAGGUACAUGAAUAAAAUGCUUUAUUAGGGAGAUAAAAUCUUAUAAUUAAUAAUGAUAAAAUAAACAAAAUGUUUAAUCAGAGUAUGAAAAUAUAAAAAAGAAUUAAGUGAAUUGAAACAUCUUAGUAACUUAUAAAUAAACCAACAGGGAGUAUAUGAGUAGUGGCGAACGAAAAUAUAUAAGUUUUAAAGUAAUAUUAUAUAAUAUGAAUAAAGAUAUAUCUAUAUCUAAAACUAAAAUAAUUAUAAAGAGAAAGUACUGAAAAGGAAAAAUCGUAAAUAGUAAAGUAUACAGCAGUCAUAGUAUGGCGUACCUUUUGUAUAAUGGGUCAGUUAGUUAUAUUUAUUAGUGAAAUAAAAAUAUUUAAAGUAAUCUAAGAAUUAUCAAUCUAUAAUUAAUAAAUAUAGACCCGAAAACAGACGAUCUACACAUAUCCAAUUAUAUAUUAAAUAUGAAUGAAUAGGUGUAUGUAGCAAUAUACUCUAAAGAGGUAUGUGUUGUAGUGAAAGACAAAUCUGGUUUGUAGAUAGCUGGUUAUAAGCGAAAUCUAUAUUAGUAGAGCCUUAAUAUCUUCUCCCUUUUUGUAAAUACAAAAAUAGGGAUAAAAAUAUAAAAACUGGUACAGCACUAAUAUUUAAUAGGGGGGUUAAUUAACUUUAUCUAUUUAUAUUAAACUCGGAACAGUGUACUAUAUAAUUAAGAGUCAGACUUAUUGCGAUAAGGUAGUAGGUCGAGAAGGAAACAGCCUAGAUUACAAUAUUAAAAGCCCCAAAAUAAAUUUAAGUGAUAUAAAUAAAUUGUAGAUUAAUAAAUAUAUUAAUUAUUUAUAAUAAAUAAUAGAGAGACAAUCAGUCAGCGGGUUUGACAAUAAUCAACUGAUAACGCACAUGUAACAAUGCACUGAUGGGACAUAUACAAUUGAUAAGAUAUAUGGGUCUAAAAUUUAUGCUUUUAAUGUAAUAGAGAGGUAGCUUAUUAUAUUAUAAUAAUAAAUAAUAAAAAAACUGCUGACUUGAGUAACGAUAGAUAGUAUAAGACUAUCCUCCAAAUCUAUAAGGUUUUACUAUAAAUAAACAGUCUCUAAGUUAAUAUUAGAAAUAAUAAAAUAAUGAGUAUAAUUAAAUAAAAAAAUAAAUAUAAACUGUACUGUAAACCGACACUGGUAUAGAAUAAAGGAGAAUGAGAUAACUAUGUCAAAUGAACUCGGCAAAGAAUAUCAGAUAAAGAUAUAAUAAUCGUGCGACUGUUUACCAAAAACACAGCUUAUUGCAGAUUAGUAAUAAUUAGUAUAAUAAGUGACAUCUGCUCAGUGUUCAUAAAUAAAUAAAAAUUUUAUUUUAGAAAUUUUAAUAAUCAAUGAAUAAACAGCGGUCUUAUUUUGAGGAUCCUAAGGUAGCGAAAUUCAUUGUCCAAUAAUUAUGGUCCUGCAUGAAUGACUUUACGAUGCGAUAACUGUAUCUGACAUAGGCUCAGUGAAAUAGCAAUUGCGGUGAAGAUGCCGUAUUUCCAUAGGUUGACAAAAAGACCCUAUGCAGCUUUACUAUAACUUGAUAUUGAUUAAUAUUAUAUUUAUAUUCAGUAAUUAGAUAAUCGUAUGAUAUAAUUGAGAUAUCUAUUAUAAAAUAAUAAAAAUCUUAUCUUAUAUAUUCAUUUAUGGCCUCCUCCAUCGACAAUGUCGAUGGAGGGAUAUAAAUAAAUGAAUAAGAAACAUUGUCAAGUAGUUAGUUUCGAUGGGGCGUCGACAUCAGCGAAAGCAUCUGAUGUGUCUAAUUAGAAUUUAUCUAUCAAAUUAUUUAAUAAUUUAUUAGUAAUAUUAAAUACAAAGAGAUUAUCUGGUGAAUAAUUAAUACACUCAUAUUUAUAUGAGUUAAUAUGUAAAAAUAAUAGUAUAAUUGUGUUUAAAUAGAAAUACAAACAAGUAGAUCUAGUACGUAAGUAUGGUAUAGUGAACAGGUAUAAUCUUUAGAAUAAGAAUAUCGAUAACGGAUUAAAGUUACGCUAGGGAUAACAGGGUAAUACCGUGAGAGAGUUGAUAUCGUCAACGGUGUUUGCCACCUCGAUUAACCAAUAGAUAGUCGAGUUUAAAUGGAUUUAAUUGCAAGAAAGUCUAAGGUUUUAUAAAAUACCUCCAAUCCCUUUAAUAUUAUCGAAGAGAGAGGUUAAACUAUGAUAAUUUGCAGCGAAAUAUAUUAUAUACAAUAAAUUAAGUAAUAUAAACGUUCAACGACUAGUUAUUGAGUAGUAUAACAAUAUAUAACCACGAAAUUUCCAAAGAAUAUAAAUAUUUAUAUUUUUAUGACAUAGUCUGAUCUAUAUAGAAAUAUAUAGAAGUAAUAAUUAAAAAAAUUACGAUAACAAUAAUGGUCGUCUAGACUCAUCCUCCUGGUAGAAGCAGCUAGGUAGGGUAAGACUGUUCGUCUUUUAAAGAGUCACUUGAGAUGGGUUAAUUACGACGUGAGUCAGUAAUGAUUUUAUCAUCUAUGGAAUUUAACUUUUAUUAUAAUCUUGAGUGUACGAAAGGAUAACAAGAUGCCAUCCUAUAAUCAAUAUGUUUAAUUCAUAUUAGUCAAGAUGGUAGAUAUUACAUUUUGAAAGCAUCUUAAAAAUUAAAUACUAUAAUUCAAAAGUUAUAUAACAUAUUAUACUAAUAUGUUAUGGUU